This 279-nucleotide unclassified non-coding RNA is filed under the name plant metagenome. RNAcentral's name for it is "partial contains small subunit ribosomal RNA, internal transcribed spacer 1, and 5.8S ribosomal RNA". The record is from RNAcentral.
UUUCCGUAGGUGAACCUGCGGAAGGAUCAUUAUUGUAUAACGGAGGCGCGAGGGAUGUAGUUGGACCGGACUGUUGUGCACGGCCGAGUACACUAACACACAUCCAUCUCACCCCGAUGUUCACCACGGCUUGGGUCCCCCUUUGCCUUGUUCGGAGGGGGGCUUCCGUUUUCACGCAAACUUUUUAUAUAGUGUAGGAUGUAUUUUUUUUUUUUGCGAUCACGCUAACAAUACAACUUUCAACUACGGAUCCCUUAGCUCUCGCAUCGGUUGAGAACC